UGUGUUUUUGGAAGACUACAGUUUGCUUUAUUCAGAAAUAAAAUAUGUUCCAAAAUUCCAAAGGAAUAUUCCAAAAUAUGCCAAACCUCUCUCAACCUCUCUUUUCCCCCACCCUUCCAAUGAGUUAGUUUGGAUUUUGAAAUAUAUUGACAUGUAGCCAGAAGCCUGGUGAUUUUACCUGGGAAAUAAAUUCUUUAUCACUUCACUUUUCUUUCUGAUACCGCACUAUGCUUGAGAGGAUGACCAGCUGCCCAUCCAAAACAGACAAGGCAAAGGUCUCUGGGCCCCAGGGUGAUGAGUUUGCCUUUCCCCCAGGGUUGCUGUGGCUCUCAGAAGGCAGCAGAGACUGGUGGGUGGACAGUCAUAUGCUGUGAGGUUGGUCACUGGCCCCACUGGUCCCAGGACUCAAUCACAUAAUCAGGUGAG
RNAcentral lists this long non-coding RNA (426 nucleotides) under Homo sapiens (human). Its description in RNAcentral is "HSALNT0196762". The record is from RNAcentral. Lineage: Eukaryota; Metazoa; Chordata; Mammalia; Primates; Hominidae.